GGCUCGUUGGUCUAGGGGUAUGAUUCACGCUUAGGGAGCGAGAAAUCCCGGGUUCAAAUCCCGGACGAGCCC
Molecule: transfer RNA, 72 nt
Filed under: Astyanax mexicanus (Mexican tetra)
Lineage: Eukaryota; Metazoa; Chordata; Actinopteri; Characiformes; Acestrorhamphidae
Rfam family: tRNA
About the family: Transfer RNA (tRNA) molecules are approximately 80 nucleotides in length. Their secondary structure includes four short double-helical elements and three loops (D, anti-codon, and T loops).
Source: Rfam by way of RNAcentral